Molecule: non-coding RNA, 126 nt
Organism: Triticum aestivum (bread wheat)
Lineage: Eukaryota; Viridiplantae; Streptophyta; Magnoliopsida; Poales; Poaceae
Source: Rfam
CUACUACUCCCUCCGUCCAAAAAAGCUUGUCUCUUAAAUGAAUGUAUCUAGCAUCAAGUUAGUACUAGAUAUAUCCAUUUAAGGAACAAACUUGAGACAAGCUUUUUCGGAUGGAGGGAGUACUAU